Molecule: ribosomal RNA, 253 nt
Filed under: uncultured bacterium
Lineage: Bacteria
Description: partial 16S ribosomal RNA
Rfam family: Bacterial small subunit ribosomal RNA
Source: RNAcentral
UACGUAGGGCGCAAGCGUUGUCCGGAAUUAUUGGGCGUAACGAGCUCGUAGGCGGUUUGUCGCGUCUGCUGUGAAAACCUAAGGCUCAACCUUGGGCUUGCAGUGGGUACGGGCAGACUAGAGUGCGGUAGGGGAGACUGGAAUUCCUGGUGUAGCGGUGAAAUGCGCAGAUAUCAGGAGGAACACCGGUGGCGAAGGCGGGUCUCUGGACGGAUACUGACGCGGAGGCGCGAAAGCGUGGGGAUCAAACAGG